This 337-nucleotide unclassified non-coding RNA is filed under the name soil metagenome. RNAcentral describes it as "partial contains 5.8S ribosomal RNA, internal transcribed spacer 2, and large subunit ribosomal RNA". The stretch from base 1 to 120 matches the Rfam family "5.8S ribosomal RNA", at positions 35 to 154 of the family's 154-position model. The record is from RNAcentral.
GAUGAAGAACGCAGCGAAAUGCGAUACGUAGUGUGAAUUGCAGAAUUCAGUGAAUCAUCGAAUCUUUGAACGCACAUUGCACCUCUCGGUAUUCCGGGAGGUAUGCCUGUUCGAGCGUCAUUUGUACCCUCAAGCUCUGCUUGGUGUUGGGUGUUUGUUCCGCCUCUGUGUGUGAACUCGCCUCAAAACAAUUGGCAGCCGGCGUACUUGUUUCGGAGCGCAGCACAUUUUGCGAUCCAGAUCAACGUACAGCGGCAUCCAAGAAGCCUUAUUUAACGCUCUUGACCUCGGAUCAGGUAGGGAUACCCGCUGAACUUAAGCAUAUCAAAAGCGAGGA